CCUGACACUCCGGUCUCAAAAAUGUUUUUGCUAAUUUGUGCCAUUACAAAGAGAACCUGUACCAUUUGCAUAUCAGACUGAUCCCACCAAUAAGGGGAGUCCAGAACUAAAAUUCAAGCAAUACAAAAACCCUGGACAAUAGUUUCAGCCUUCUUCUAAUGAAGCCAGCCACGCUGAAAAAAAUAGUUCAGUAAGAAUUUG
Molecule: non-coding RNA, 201 nt
Organism: Pelobates cultripes (western spadefoot toad)
Lineage: Eukaryota; Metazoa; Chordata; Amphibia; Anura; Pelobatidae
Source: the annotation of a GenBank genome assembly